AGUGAACGCUGGCGGUAGGCCUAACACAUGCAAGUCGAACGGCAGCACAGUAAGAGCUUGCUCUUACGGGUGGCGAGUGGCGGACGGGUGAGGAAUACAUCGGAAUCUACUUUUUCGUGGGGGAUAACGUAGGGAAACUUACGCUAAUACCGCAUACGACCUACGGGUGAAAGCAGGGGAUCUUCGGACCUUACGCGAUUGAAUGAGCCGAUGUCGGAUUAGCUAGUUGGCGGGGUAAAGGCCCACCAAGGUGACGAUCCGUAGCUGGUCUGAGAGGAUGAUCAGCCACACUGGAACUGAGACACGGUCCAGACUCCUACGGGAGGCAGCAGUGGGGAAUAUUGGACAAUGGGCGCAAGCCUGAUCCAGCCAUACCGCGUGGGUGAAGAAGGCCUUCGGGUUGUAAAGCCCUUUUGUUGGGAAAGAAAAGCAGCAGGUUAAUACCCCGCUGUUCUGACGGUACCCAAAGAAUAAGCACCGGCGAACUUCGG
This 491-nucleotide ribosomal RNA is filed under the name uncultured bacterium. Its description in RNAcentral is "partial 16S ribosomal RNA". It matches the Rfam family "Bacterial small subunit ribosomal RNA", at positions 29 to 506 of the family's 1533-position model. The record is from RNAcentral.